CUCGUAGGCGGCCAACUAAGUCAGACGUGAAAUCCCUCGGCUUAACCGGGGAACUGCAUCUGAUACUGGAUGGCUUGAGUUCGGGAGAGGGAUGCGGAAUUCCAGGUGUAGCGGUGAAAUGCGUAGAUAUCUGGAGGAACACCGGUGGCGAAGGCGGCAUCCUGGACCGACACUGACGCUGAGGAGCGAAAGCCAGGGAGCAAACG
This 206-nucleotide ribosomal RNA is filed under the name uncultured bacterium. RNAcentral's name for it is "partial 16S ribosomal RNA". It matches the Rfam family "Bacterial small subunit ribosomal RNA", at positions 568 to 774 of the family's 1533-position model. The record is from RNAcentral.